This 226-nucleotide unclassified non-coding RNA is filed under the name Hevea brasiliensis (rubber tree). Lineage: Eukaryota; Viridiplantae; Streptophyta; Magnoliopsida; Malpighiales; Euphorbiaceae. The record is from RNAcentral.
AUUUAACAUCAAAUUAACUCAGUAAUGGAGGAAAAUAAGAAUAUACUCAAGUCCAAUACUGUAUCCUCUUAAUGGGAGUAAGGACAUAAGGAGAAAAAAGAAAAAAAAAUGAUAAUCAAGGAAAAGACAAUUAAAAUGUUCAUUAGGAAACUUUAAUACAGAACAAGAAGCCCUUUAAUAUCUAAUCUAACAAUCUUGCAUUAGACAGUGAUGCAAACAAUAAGAA